Molecule: long non-coding RNA, 243 nt
Filed under: Capsicum annuum
Lineage: Eukaryota; Viridiplantae; Streptophyta; Magnoliopsida; Solanales; Solanaceae
Description: long non-coding RNA (CANN_LNC008619)
Source: RNAcentral
GGGAAGCAAUGCAAUGAAUGUUCUAGUUUGCCUUAGAGAUUGGAUUAGAGUGGAACGAAGAAAUCAAGGAAUGGAAGCGGAGCCGAACGACGAGCAGAGACUUGAAGAAAUUAUGACUUCACGGGAUGGAAUAAAGAAAUCAAGGAAUGGAAGCGGAGCCGAACGGCGAGUAGAGACUUGAAGAAAUUAUGACUUCCCGGGAGAACUCAACAGAAUCAAAUCCAAUGCAUGGUUUUGCCCCCG